Molecule: small nuclear RNA, 107 nt
Organism: Ictidomys tridecemlineatus (thirteen-lined ground squirrel)
Lineage: Eukaryota; Metazoa; Chordata; Mammalia; Rodentia; Sciuridae
Source: Ensembl
GUACUCAUUUCAGCAGCACAUAUACUGAAACCUGGAAUGAUAUAGAGAAGAAUAGCAUGUUCUCUGUGCAAGGAUGACACAGAAAUUCUGAAGUGUUCCAUAUAUUU